This is a long non-coding RNA of Panicum hallii, 394 nucleotides long. RefSeq lists it as uncharacterized. Lineage: Eukaryota; Viridiplantae; Streptophyta; Magnoliopsida; Poales; Poaceae. The transcript has 3 exons. The record is from RefSeq and is a predicted model, not a curated record.
CCGCCGGCCCCACUCCACCCUCGUCUUCGUCUACGGCUCGGGUUCUUCAUCGCCAUGGCAAGCAAUGGCGAUUCCGGCACAUCAACCGGGGCAUGACACGGAAGUGCAAACUUGAAGUUAUUGAUACAACUUCAUGCCAAAGAGAACAACCAGGUCUUCUUUUAGAUUUGAAUGUGAACCCAGAAUGGGAGGCUAAAGUUGAAAAGAGGAAACGCAAGCUAGAAGAAGGCAAUGAAGUGAAAAAAUAAUCAGAGAAGCAUGGUGGGGAAGUACAAACUCGAACUUGGCGAACUAGCUCACUUCCCAAAGACAAGGACUUGCUUCUUUUAGAAUUCAAAGGCCGGAGAGGAAGGUCACGUAGCCUAGAAGUUAUACAUAAAAAUUCAUGAAGCAC